GACAGAGGGUGCUAGCGUUGUUCGGAUUUACUGGGCGUAAAGGGCGCGUAGGCGGUCGUGACAAGUCACUUGUGAAAUCUCCGGGCUUAACUCGGAACGGUCAAGUGAUACUGUCGGACUAGAGUACAGAAGGGGCAACUGGAAUUCUCGGUGUAGCGGUGAAAUGCGUAGAUAUCGAGAGGAACACCUGCGGCGAAGGCGGGUUGCUGGGCUGAUACUGACGCUGAGGCGCGAAAGCCAGGGGAGCGAACGGG
Molecule: ribosomal RNA, 254 nt
Filed under: uncultured bacterium
Lineage: Bacteria
Description: partial 16S ribosomal RNA
Rfam family: Bacterial small subunit ribosomal RNA
Source: RNAcentral